This 1338-nucleotide long non-coding RNA is filed under the name Strigops habroptila (Kakapo). RNAcentral describes it as "lncRNA (ENSSHBG00005017408.1)". The record is from RNAcentral. Lineage: Eukaryota; Metazoa; Chordata; Aves; Psittaciformes; Psittacidae.
UAAAACUCUGCAGUAUUCUCCUUGUGCAAUAAUCUAAAAGGUGAUGGAAAUUCAGAUCUUACUUUCUCUCUCUUUUUUUUUUUUUUUUAAUUUUAUUUUAAAUAGAAUGAAGUAACUCAUGGCCAUUUACUUCUGGUAAUAAUAAGAAGUAAUCAUUCUAACUGAUUAAAGUGAAAUACUCUAGUAUUCAAAAAUCCAGCUUGACUGUAGAUGUAAGUACAUGGGCUUGUAAUGAAUUCUGCAUGUGGCCAUGGAUUUAUUGAAUCGUAACUGUGGAUGGUGCUUUUGUUCUCGUGGCAAGGUAAGAUUGACUUGAGGAUCAUUCUUGAGAAAUAUCUACUAGAAUUAUGCAUUAUUUUUAACUGCCAAAAGUUGUAUUUUGACAGCAUAAAUAAUACAGUAUUAAACAUUAUGUCAUUAGUAUCUGUGCCUUAUUUUAAAUGAAUUUUCUUACUAUUUUCAGGCAGCUACAAGAUUUAUAAGAACAGGAUUCUGGUGUCUCCAUUAUGAAAUGAUUUUUCUGUCAUGAUCUUGAACUGAUUUAAACUAUUCACACUGACAUUCAAGCUCAGGUGCCUGUAUGCUCUUUAGUUCUCAAAUAGGAAGGACUUGGUUUUGCUAUAAUAGAAUGUAGGCGUAUGAUAGCUGCUCAAAGGUAACAUGAGUAAAAUGUCUUAAUAGCUAUGUAACUCCAGGAAAUCUGUGUAGUUGUCUCAGUGAAUCUAAGAAUUAAGAUUAUGAACAGUCAUGUGCACAAAUGCUAAUUUUAUGUGAUAAUUUCUCAAACUGCUGUUUCUAGGAGUGUCAAAAGAUCCAGAGAGAAUUAAUACUUUAUCCUGUAUGGUUUUGUGAUGCAGAAGCAUGAAUGUACUUGAGGAUAAAGGGUGACUCUGCAAAGCUGUUCUUCAUGUUAUACCCCUUGAUACAAAAUUAAUGUCUUUGAAAAAACUUUGGAAAAUUAAUGUCUUUUGCCUCCAUGUUCCUUGAGAGUACUUGAGGCUGUUUUGCUGAAAAGGCUUUUAUUUGAAGCAUGACCUAGGACUUACUCAUCCCCUAUGCUGAAAUUAAAGAAGCCUUCUGGUAAACUGCCUCUUUCUGCAUAGGUAAAAAAUCCUCCAAUGUUCUGUUGAUGUAAGAGUCAGGGUUUAGGUAUUGCUGAUAGCUUGCUGAAGAGUGGAGAUGGAAAAACCUACCCCAUUAAUUAGCUGAGUACAAAGAAGCUCGUGUAUCUUGACAAUUAUAUAUAGCUCCAUUUUUAAGGAGUUCCACUUAUUUCUUAGUGAAGAGUACUCUGCAACAAAAAAAAACAACAACAACAACAAAAAACAAAAAAAAAAA